RNA transcript from Cercocebus atys (sooty mangabey), 2496 nucleotides. It is a transcript of the gene named galactosamine (N-acetyl)-6-sulfatase, with no coding region annotated. The transcript has 16 exons. The record is from RefSeq and is a predicted model, not a curated record. NCBI's taxonomy places the organism in Eukaryota, Metazoa, Chordata, Mammalia, Primates, Cercopithecidae.
GGCCCCGCCCCGCAGCCCAGCCGGAAGGGCAGGCGGACGCUCGCUGCUGGGUCGGCUCGCUGGCUCGGGCUCCGCGGCUCCGGUGGUUGCCAUGGCGGCGGUUGUCGCGGCGACGAGGUGGUGGCGGCUGUUGCUGGUGCUGAGCGCCGCGGGGAUGGGGGCCUCGGGCGCCCCGCAGCCCCCCAAUAUCCUGCUUCUGCUCAUGGACGACAUGGGAUGGGGCGACCUCGGGGUGUACGGAGAGCCCUCCAGAGAGACCCCGAAUUUGGACCGGAUGGCUGCAGAAGGGAUGCUUUUCCCAAACUUCUAUUCUGCCAACCCUCUGUGCUCACCAUCCAGGGCGGCACUGCUCACGGGACGGCUGCCCAUCCGCAAUGGCUUCUACACCACCAACGCCCAUGCCAGAAACGCCUACACGCCGCAGGAAAUUGUGGGCGGUAUCCCAGACUCGGAGCAGCUCCUCCCGGAGCUUCUGAAGGAGGCCGGCUACGUCAGCAAGAUCAUCGGCAAGUGGCAUCUGGGUCACAGGCCCCAGUUCCACCCCCUGAAGCACGGAUUUGAUGAGUGGUUUGGAUCCCCCAACUGCCACUUUGGACCUUAUGACAACAAGGCCAGGCCCAACAUCCCUGUGUACAGGGACUGGGAGAUGGUUGGCAGAUAUUACGAAGAAUUUCCGAUUAAUCUGAAGACGGGGGAAGCCAACCUCACCCAGAUCUACCUGCAGGAAGCCCUGGACUUCAUUAAGAGACAGGCACGGCGCCACCCCUUCUUCCUCUACUGGGCUGUCGACGCCACACACGCACCCGUCUACGCCUCCAAACCCUUCUUGGGCACCAGUCAGCGAGGGCGGUAUGGAGAUGCCGUCCGGGAGAUUGAUGACAGUGUUGGGAAGAUGCUGGAGCUUCUCCACGACCUGCACAUCGCGGACAACACCUUCGUCUUCUUCACAUCGGACAACGGCGCUGCCCUCAUUUCCGCCCCUGAACAAGCUGGCAGCAACGGCCCCUUUCUGUGUGGGAAGCAGACCACGUUUGAAGGAGGGAUGAGGGAGCCUGCCCUCGCGUGGUGGCCGGGGCACAUCGCCGCAGGCCAGGUGAGCCACCAGCUGGGCAGUAUCAUGGACCUCUUCACCACCAGCCUGGCGCUUGCAGGCCUGACGCCGCCCAGAGACAGGGCCAUUGAUGGCCUCAGUCUCCUCCCCGCCCUCCUGCAGGGCCGGCUGAUGGACAGGCCCGUCUUCUAUUACCGCGGUGAUACGCUGAUGGCGACCACCCUCGGGCAGCACAAGGCUCACUUCUGGACCUGGACCAACUCCUGGGAGAACUUCAGACAGGGCAUUGAUUUCUGCCCUGGGCAGAACGUUUCCGGGGUCACGACUCACAGCCUGGAAGACCACACGAAGCUGCCCCUGAUCUUCCACCUGGGACGGGACCCGGGGGAGAGGUUCCCCCUGAGCUUUGCCAGCGCUGAGUACCAGGAGGCCCUCAGCAGGAUCACUUCGGUCGUCCAGCAGCACCAGGAGGCCUUGGUCCCCGGGCAGCCCCAGCUCAACGUGUGCAACUGGGCAGUGAUGGCUUUGGUGGCUGCCCUCCAACCAGCGUUGCCCACUCUGCCGGCAGAAAAGAUAAAAGACAAGUCUCCUAUGACUGAGCAUUGGGCUAAUAAGUGCCCAUAUCCCUGCCCGCCUUCCACGCCAUGUCCAGCUUGCCAGCAGGAGAGGCAUUGGAAGUCUGAUUGCCCCGCCAUCAGGACAGGCACCGCGCCUCAACGUAGUGCCUCUCCUCAAAGAUGGGAAGGCUCCUUCCAACUCCUACACCUUGACGAGGACUGACGGUGCCCACACUCGGAGACCCCGGUCACCCCAGCCCAGGGUAACGCUACAGGUAGCGGAUUCUCUCAACAUUACCUGGACUCAUCAAGCAACAACUAACCAGAACCUCCACAGAGGCACAUCAAUCGUGGGGUCCAAGAAAAUUACUCGAGUUUCCUUCAAUCAAAUGCUCCUACACCCUUACACCCAACUGCCAACCUCAGACCCUAACUAUGCCCCUUAACAGCAGGAAGCAGCCAGAGAGAAAACUGCGCCCUAAAAUCUUAUAAUCAAUGAGAGGUUGGACUGUUUGGGUGAAGGAAUGGGCCAAGAUGGAGGAAAAAUGAACAAGAUGGCAUAGUCCCUGUUGCUUCCGGAUUCUUCACCACCAAUUUACCUGCGCCAGAAAAGCGCAAACCAACUGAGCAUGCGCCAAGUGACGUCAACCUGAAGAAAUCAAAACUUACCCAUCCACGCCCAUGAAGACACCCCCGUCCCACCCACUGCCCUCCCCUUUCCGGUCGCAAGGCAUAAAAAUCUGUCGCCGGCAAGUGCCAGCGUGACUUCUCCAGCCCGCGACUUCUCUGGCCCGCGACUUCCCUGGCCCUCCCUACUUGCAGACCGGAGAACCUCGCCCGAGAGCACGUGCAUAUUUGCAAAUAAAGGGUACCACUUUCUUUAUUUGA